Molecule: small nuclear RNA, 151 nt
Organism: Magnolia sinica
Lineage: Eukaryota; Viridiplantae; Streptophyta; Magnoliopsida; Magnoliales; Magnoliaceae
Product: U4 spliceosomal RNA
Exons: 1
Source: RefSeq, a predicted model, not a curated record
GUUUUGGCUUUUGGGACAAUGACGCAGCUAGUGAGGUUAUAACCAAGAUGCAUCAAUUGCUGGUUGAAAACUAUUUCCAAACCUUGUUUUUGGCCUUGGUUCAGCCCUGUGCCAUUGAAAAUUUCUAGGAAAGCUCUCUCUAAUCAAGGGC